UACGGGGGGGGCAAGCGGUUGUUCGGAAUUACUGGGCGUAAAGGGCUCGUAGGCGGCCAACUAAGUCCGACGUGAAAUCCCCAGGCCUUAACCUGGGAACUGCGUCGGAUACUGGAUGGCUUGAAUUCGGGAGAGGGAUGCAGAAUUCCAGGUGUAGCGGUGAAAUGCGUAGAUAUCUGGAGGAAUACCGGUGGCGAAGGCGGCAUCCUGGACCGACAUUGACGCUGAUGAGCGAAAGCUAGGGGAGCAAACGGG
This 255-nucleotide ribosomal RNA is filed under the name uncultured bacterium. RNAcentral describes it as "partial 16S ribosomal RNA". It matches the Rfam family "Bacterial small subunit ribosomal RNA", at positions 524 to 776 of the family's 1533-position model. The record is from RNAcentral.